CCGAUUCCUCUCCAGCUCCCUUCAGUGACGGACCUUCUUCUCCGGAUGAAUCCCUCUCCAGUCCCAUCGGCAGCACAUUCUCCUCCCCCGCUGGUAACACCUCUCGCCGGAACAGAUGCAGGGGUAGAUCCACUACCACUUCGGCCUUCGCCACCACCCCUCCUUCCCAAUCCCGCUUUGCCACUUCAGAAUCAACCCCGACU
Molecule: unclassified non-coding RNA, 203 nt
Filed under: Hevea brasiliensis (rubber tree)
Lineage: Eukaryota; Viridiplantae; Streptophyta; Magnoliopsida; Malpighiales; Euphorbiaceae
Source: RNAcentral